GUGUGUGAAAGAGAUGGUCUCGGGAGAGGCCAACGCGGGGAGUGACGAGGGGAGGCACAGAUCCCUUAGUGCGGGUUGUGUUCCGAGGCCAGUGUGGGGGAAACCAGACCUAGAACGUUGUAUACGGCUGAUAGGACCAGGUCCACCGCUGCAGCAGGCUGUGAGAGGGGAAGGCACGUUCCUGGCUAAGCAGCGUCCAAAACUCCCGUAAUAGGACCCAGUCUGGUGGACCCGAGAGUAAAAGUGAGAGUGAAAGUGCGCCGCAAGGGAGGAAAUGGGAGGAAAAGCGUCGAAACCAACUCCUUUGGAGUGCAUGAUAAAAAAAUUUUUAAAAAGGAUUUAGAGGUGAUUAUGGGAUGAAACUGGAUGCUCAAAAUUUAAGGACAUACUGUGAAUUAGAAUAGCCCUCUUUUAGUGUUGGACGACUGGCCGAAGGCACUACAGAGAAAUUGGCCGUGUGUUUUAAGGUGGUGACUAGGGUUGGAGGACCACCAGGGCAUUCAGACCUAGUCUUUGUAUUGAUUCAUGGCUAAAUGAAUGCAGCCCUGCCUAGCAGUUUAUUGUAGAACGCUCGCAGCUCAUGGCGAGAGACACCAGCUGUGCUGGCAGCUACAGAGUUAAAGGGAAAGUCACAGAGCCUUGUAACUCCACAAGUAAAAAGUGAAAAGUAAAAGCCAAAAGUGAAAGUAAAAAUCAGCUGUGCCAGGAACUAUGGAGACAAAAGAAAAGUCUCAGGAAAGAGAAAACUGGUUUUGCAAGAACCACAGAAGGGAAUAAAGACCCCUCCUCCCUACAUUCCAAUCUACCCCCCUUUACCAAGGCUAACUGCCCCUAAGGAGUUAAGUUCAAAGAAAUACAGGCUCCCAGAAGAAAAAAUCAGAGCUCCAGGAAGUUAAAGUGAAAGGUUACAAAAAAGUCAGGCAGGCCGUCUCAGGUCUGGCCGUGCCCAAGUUAUGCUUAUGCCUCUUAAGAGGACAAAAGGACCCCCACUAGGACCCAGAUGAUGCAGUCCAGCUUCAACCCCUACAAAAUUGCCGAGAAGCACUUCUGCCAAAGGCUAAAGGAUGGUAAAAGAAAAAGGUAACCAAUAUAUAUAUAUAUAUAAAAAAAAUCUCAGAGGUGCUCCAGGGUGCAGAUAAAAGCACCAACCAGUUUUAAAAAAGACUUUGUGGGCAUUUUGGUUGUACACUCCGUUUAACUCUAAGGCUGCUGAAAAUCAGCACGUGGUGGAUACAGCAUUUGUAAGACAGGCCCAAGGAGAUAUCCGGCAUACAUUGCAGAAGUUAGAAGCUCCGUAGGCGUGAAUGCUACUCAGCUUAUUAAGGUGGCUACCAAGGUGUACAUUAACUGAGAUCAAGAGGCAAAAAAGAAAGCUGAUCGGAGGCUUAAGAAAGGCUAAUUUACUAGCAGCAGCCCUUACAGGAAGAGAAGCUGGCUUUGCAAGGAGGCAGGGACGUGGGCGUGAACACAGUCGUGGAAAAGGCUAGUCUGGACAGGAGUUUGAAAGCCGGCCGAGGCUAGAGAGAGAUUAAUGCGGACAGUGCAAAAGGAAAGGACACUAGAAGGAUAAAUGUCAAAAGAAUAAGGAAAAUGGUCAAUGGUCUAACACCCGAGUGCAGCGUUCGGUUGCUAGUUGUCAUGCUUCAAAGGCAGAUCCUGAUCUGAUCGGCUUAGCGGGGGCUGAGAAUUUAGAGGACUGAUAGACCGGGCUCCAUCCUUUUAGGCCCCGGGGAGCCUAUAGUCUCUAUGGAAGUAGGGGGCCAAUUAAUGGAUUUUUUGGUCGAUACUGGUGCUGAUUUCUCUGUGGUAACUCACCAAUUAGUCCCCCCACAAAGAACUGUGCUACUAUCGUAGGGGCUACUGGCGCCAAAGAAAAGAGGCCUUUUUGCAAAUCCAGGAGAUGUAUUAUUGGGGGACAAAAAGUGCAGCAUGAGUUUCUAUAUAUGCCAAAUUAUCCAGUGCCCUUGUUGAAAAGAGACUUACUCCAGAAACUGCAGGCACAAAUCUCCUUUACACCUAAAGAGAAUAUGACACUAGAGUUUAGAAAGUUUAAGGCAAUGGUUUUGACUAUAACUGUCUCAAGAACUGAGAAAUGGCGGCUCUAUAAACUGUGUGCCAGAAGGCCACUGGAGGCGGACCUACACAAUAUGCGGGGAAUGCUUUUCAAGGUACCAGGUGUAUGGACCGAGCACAACCUCCCUGGACUUGCUGCAAACAGACCCCCGGUCGUAGUAGAGCUUAGCCCUUAUGUUCCCCGGUACAAGUCCGUCAAUACCCACUACCCAGAGAGGCAAUUGAUGGCAUAACGAAACAUUUAAAUCGGCUCUGUGAACAUAGGAUUAUACUGAAAUGCAAGUCCUCCUGGAAUACUCCUCUGCUGCCUGUGCAGAAGCCAAAUGGUGAAUACAGGCCAGUUUACAAAGUGUCCAAGGACAAGGCAAAAGUCUUUUUUCAGCAGGUUGGAUAGCUAAGAUUCAUGGUAUCCCAAGGCCAGUGCAGGCUUGGAAGUGCACGCAAGGAGGCUGUAGGUGCAUUGCCCACCCACAGGUCAGGGAAUUUCUAGGUGCGGCGGGAUUCUGCCGAAUCUGGAUUCCAAACUUCUCCCUUAUAGCAAAGCCCUUAUAUGAGGCUACCAAAGGAAAAGAAAGAGAGCCCCUCCUAUGGGAAAAGGAAUAGGAAAAGGCCUUCAAAGAUAUAAACGAAGCUCUCAUCCAAGCCCCGGCGCUAAGGUUGCCAGAUAUUAAAAAGCCCUUUUUUUGUAUGUGAAUAAACGAAAGGGAAUGGCAGUCGGAGUCGUAACUCAGCUGGGCUCUUAGCAUCGGCCGGUAACACACUUAUCCAAGAGACUGGACUUGGUGGCCUUAGGUUGGCCCCACUGCCUCAGGGCGUUGGCAGCUACUGCAAUCCUUCUAAAAGAUGCCAACAAGCUAGCCCUAGGUCAGAAGUUAAUAGUUCGGGUGCCACAUGCUGUAGUCACCUUAAUGGAGCAAAGAGGACAUCAUUGGCUGUCCAACUCUAGAAUGCUAAAGUAUCAAGGGCUUCUGUGUAAAAAUCCCCAGAUAACACUGGAGACUGUAAAUACCUUGAACCCAGUUCCCCUGCUGCCUGUGGAGGAACCCGACUGGAAGGACGGUAGGUUGCCUCGCUGCUGGCAGGACCUUCUCCACUGUUGCCUAAAUACGGUGGAUGAAGUGUUCUCGAGCCAGGAAGAUCUCAGAGAUAUCCUCCUUGGAGAGCCCAGAUGUUGAAUACUUCACUGAUGGUAGCAGUUUCAUAACAGAUGGGGUACGAUAUGCAGGGUAUGCCGUAGUGACCCAACACUCAGCAGUUGAGGCUCAAGCCUUACCUUCUGGGACUUCUGCUCAGAAGGCUGAAUUAAUAGCAUUAACCGGAUCACUGUUAUUGGACAAGGGGAAGAAAGUAAAUAUAUAUACUGAUUCAAGAUAUGCUUUUGCAACCCUGCAUGCCCAUGGGGCAACAUGCAAAGAGAGAGGACUUUUGACUACUAAAGGAAAAAAAAUUAAAAAAAAAAAUAAAGAGGAAAUUUUGCAAUUAUUAGAAGCCAUAUAGGCUCCAGAAAAGGUGGCUGUCAUUCAUUGCAAAGAACACUAAAUGGAAAAAAGCUAUGAAUCACAGGGCAACAGAAAGGCAGACCUAGAGGCUCUGCGGGCAUCAAUGAGCAAGGCUUUACCUGAAGAAAGACCUAUAGCAACGCCUCUCCUUAUAGAGCCCCCUUUGCCGGAGGUACCCAAUUACUCUUCAAGUGAAACAGCUUGGUUUGGUCAGGAAACAAAAAAAUAUAUUAAAGGUGGAUGGUGGCUCUGACAGGAGGCUAGCCAUCCCAGAGACAAUAGCCCCAAGGUUUGUGAAGCAGAUCCAUCAAGGAACACACAUUGGAAGGACAGCUCUAGAGACUUGGAUAGGUUGGCAUCUCUAUGUGCCAUGGCUGUCUGCCAUGACCCGUGCUGUUUGUGAACAAUGUCUAUCUUGUGCCCGGAGUAAUCCAAAACGAGGACCUACUCAACCUCCAGGAAUUCAGGAAGUAGGAGCUGUGCCUUGUGAGAACCUGCUUAUAGACUUUACCGAGUUGCCUUGAGCAGGAGGUUACCAGUAUAUGCUAGUGUUUGUUUGCACCUACUCGGGGUGGGUUGAGGCCUUCCCCACCGGAACUAAAAAGACACAAGAGGUGACAAAGGUGCUACUGAAAGACAUCAUACCAAGGUUUGGGUCGCCUCUAACCCUAGGAUCAGACGACGGUCCUGCAUUUGUGGCAGAAGUUGUACAACAGCUAACUCAACUUUUAAAGAUCAAAUGGAAACUGCACACAGCCUAUCGACCACAGAGUUCAGGGAAGGUGGAACGCAUGAACCAGACACUCAAACAGCUACUGAAGAAAUUGUGUCAAAAAAACUCAUCAAAAGUAGGAUCAGGUCUUGCCCAUGGUCCUCCUCCAAGUCAGGUGCACCUCCACCAAACAAACUGGGUAUUCGCCCUCUGAGAUUUUUUUCGGCCGGCCACCCACCCACCCAUCAUAAGACAGAUUAAAGGUAAUCUCUGUAAACUAGAAGAACUAACUUUAAGAAGGCAAAUGCAGACUUUAAGUAUGGCCAUGUAAGAAUGCAUGACUGGGUAUAGAAAAAUGCCUAUAAGUCUAACAGACCCAGUACACCCUUUCAAACCUAAGGAUUUUGUUUAAGCUAAAAUAAUGGAAUCCAACCAUUCUGGGACCCAUACAGGAUAGGUCUCGUAUUGUAAUCAUGUCUGCUUCCACUGCUGUUAAAGUUGCAGGUGUCACACCUUGGAUUCACCAUAGCCAGCAGAAACCAGUGGCAACAGAGACUCCCGAUGAUAACCAGUGGAUUAACCAACAAGACCCAGAUCGCCCCACCUGAAUAGUCCUACGGCGAAACCCAACCACCGGUAAGAAGGACAACUGGCCUGCUCUGACCACACCGGAGGAUGGUCAGUCUAUGCACGGCUGAAGCUUGAGGAUCCUGCAAGCUCUGCUCUAGUCACAUCCUGGAAGCUGACUAGUCUACGCACAGUCGAAGCUAAGAGGACCAUAUCCGGAUAAGUUAAAGAAAGAGGGACCAAUUAACUUCACCUUUUCCUAAACUUGAAAAGACAAACCAAAUUCUGCCCUUCAUCUCCAAUGUUUGAAAGAUCAGAGGUUCCUGUCAAGAACAUGGGUCCGUGUGUGGUUCACUCUGAAGCAUCUGUCUUCCUGUGAAAGAGCUUGCGGCUGGUCUGCAAAGCUAGGAAUGGUGACCAGCAGUGGUAGAGGGCACCGUGUCCUGGAGGCGACGGCCACACGCAUGUCUGUGCAUUCACACAUGCCAUGUAUUCCCAGGCAUAAACGGUGUGUAAUAUCAUUGCCCUUUGUUACACUUUUGGCUGCAGCUCAUGGGUCACCAAUGGAUGCCCAUACAGAGAGCCGAUUUAGGUGAGCCCAGCAAAGCCAAGCAUACUUCAGCGUCUCCAUAGAAACUUCCUGUCUGUAUCAUAGCCACACGCCUGCAUGCGCACACACGCCUCGGGCCUCAUGUCUCCACACCCUUGCCUGCCUCCAACCCCCAUGUGCUCCCAGCGCCAGGCCUCCAUUCUGCAGCCUCAGAGAGUGGUGUCUGAGAGGAGAAAUGGAUCAGGAGCAGGCCCCUGGACUCUGGAAAGGUCUGCUGCCCAACAGCCCAUGGUGACAUCAGAGGGACAGAAAUGCCCACAGGUGGGGAGUCUUCAGCCCCCGACUGCCCAGCUGGCCCCCACUGUGGCUCAGAGAUCUCACCUUCAGGGCUCUGCGGU
Long non-coding RNA from Homo sapiens (human), 5799 nucleotides. RefSeq lists it as uncharacterized. The record is from RefSeq and is a predicted model, not a curated record. The transcript has 4 exons. NCBI's taxonomy places the organism in Eukaryota, Metazoa, Chordata, Mammalia, Primates, Hominidae.